UAGGGAAUCUUCGGCAAUGGACGAAAGUCUGACCGAGCAACGCCGCGUGAGUGAAGAAGGUUUUCGGAUCGUAAAACUCUGUUGUUAGAGAAGAACAAGGACGUUAGUAACCGAACGUCCCCUGACGGUAUCUAACCAGAAAGCCACGGCUAACUACGUGCCAGCAGCCGCGGUAAUACGUAGGUGGCAAGCGUUUUCCGGAUUUAUUGGGCGUAAAGCGAGCGCAGGCGGUUUCUUAAGUCUGAUGUGAAAGCCCCCGGCUCAACCGGAAAGGGUCAUUGGAAACUGGGAGUCUUGAGUGCAAAAGAGGAGAGUGGAAUUCCAUGUGUAGCGGUGAAAUGCGUAGAUAUAUGGAGGAACACCAGUGGCGAAGGCGGCUCUCUGGUCUGUAACUGACGCUGAGGCUCGAAAGCGUGGGGAGCAAACAGG
RNAcentral lists this ribosomal RNA (429 nucleotides) under Gemmatimonadota bacterium. RNAcentral describes it as "Gemmatimonadetes bacterium partial 16S ribosomal RNA". It matches the Rfam family "Bacterial small subunit ribosomal RNA", at positions 355 to 776 of the family's 1533-position model. The record is from RNAcentral. Lineage: Bacteria; Pseudomonadati; Gemmatimonadota.